This 244-nucleotide ribosomal RNA is filed under the name uncultured bacterium. RNAcentral describes it as "partial 16S ribosomal RNA". It matches the Rfam family "Bacterial small subunit ribosomal RNA", at positions 334 to 594 of the family's 1533-position model. The record is from RNAcentral.
UCGUCCUACGGGACGCAGCAGUCGGGAAUAUUGCGCAAUGGAGGAAACUCUGACGCAGUGACGCCGCGUGCAGGAAGAAGGUUUUCGGAUUGUAAACUGCUUUAGACAGGGAAGAAACAAGACAGUACCUGUAGAAUAAGCUCCGGCUAACUACGUGCCAGCAGCCGCGGUAAUACGGCGGAUGCGCGCGUUAUCCGGAUUUAUUGGCUUUAAAGGGUGCGUAGGCGGAUUUUUAAGUCAGCGG